RNAcentral lists this ribosomal RNA (463 nucleotides) under uncultured bacterium. Its description in RNAcentral is "partial 16S ribosomal RNA". It matches the Rfam family "Bacterial small subunit ribosomal RNA", at positions 338 to 795 of the family's 1533-position model. The record is from RNAcentral.
CCUACGGGAGGCAGCAGUAGGGAAUUUUCGUCAAUGGGCGCAAGCCUGAACGAGCAAUGCCGCGUGAACGAGGAAGGUCUUCGGAUCGUAAAGUUCUGUUGAAGGGGAAAAGAGCGGAGAGAGGCAAUGCUUUCUGAUUGAUAUUCCCCUUCGAGGACGUCACGGCUAACUACGUGCCAGCAGCCGCGGUAAUAGGUAGGUGGCGAGCGUUAUCCGGAAUGAUGGGGCGAAAGGGGUGCGUGGGCGGCCUUCUAAGUCUGGAGUGAAAGGUACGGGCUCAACCGGUACAGGCUCUGGAAACUGGAGGGCUAGAGAGCAGGAGAGGGAGGUGGAACUCCAGGUGGAGCGGUAAAAUGCGUAGAUAUAUGGAAGAACACCAGUGGCGAAGGCGGCCGACUGGGCUGUGACUGACGCUGAGGCACGAAAGCGUGGGGAGCAAAUAGGAUUAGAUACCCCUGUAGUC